RNAcentral lists this ribosomal RNA (2080 nucleotides) under bioreactor metagenome. RNAcentral's name for it is "bacterial LSU rRNA". It matches the Rfam family "Bacterial large subunit ribosomal RNA", at positions 1 to 1984 of the family's 2925-position model. The record is from RNAcentral.
GCAAGAUAUAAAGGGCGCACGGGGGAUGCCUUGGUAGCAAAGGCCGAAGAAGGACGUGGCAGGCUGCGAAAAGCCCGGGGUAGGUGCCUAACAACCGAAGAUCCCGGGAUAUCCGAAUGGGGAAACCCGCAUGGAAGGAAAUCCAUGCAUCGCUUAGUGAAAUUAGUAGCUAAGCGAGGGGCACGAGGCGAAGUGAAACAUCUCAGUAGCCUCAGGAAGAGAAAUCAAAAGAGAUUCCCUAAGUAGCGGCGAGCGAACGGGGAAGAGCCCAAACCUAAGCUGUGUGAUAGCGGCCAGGCGUUGCAGUUUAGGGGUAGCGGGGCACAUACGGAGCCGGCUGGCAACAGGCUCAGCUAGUUACAAAACUUGUACAUAGCCGAACUGCAUGGGAAGGCAGACCGAAGAAGGUGAAAGUCCUGUAGGCGAAAUGUACAAGACUAGCUGGUAUGUGACCCCAAGUACACCGGGACACGAGGAAUCCUGGUGGAAUCAGGGGGGACCACCCUCCAAGGCUAAACACCUUUGCUAACCGAUAGCGCAUAGUACCGUGAGGGAACGGUGAAAAGAACCCCGGUGAGGGGAGUGAAAUAGAACCUGAAACCGUGCGUCCACAAGGAACGGGAGGCGACCCAUGGGUUGCCGACCGUGUGCCUAUUGAAGAAUGAGCCAGGGAGUUCAUUCCAGUAGCGAGGUUAAGGUGCUAAGGCACUGAAGCCGAAGGGAAACCGAGUCUGAACAGGGCGAUAAGCUGCUGGAUUGAGACACGAAGCCGGGUGAUCUACCCAUGUCCAGGGUGAAGGGCAGGUAAGACUGUCUGGAGGCCCGAACCCGUCAGGGGUAAAAACCUGUGGGAUGAGGUGUGGGUAGGGGAGAAAUUCCAAUCGAACCCGGGGAUAGCUGGUUCUCUCCGAAAUGCAUUGAGGUGCAGCCUUUGGGUAGUAGACCGUGGAGGUAGAGCACUGGUAGGGCUAGGGGGUCGUGAGGCCUACUGAACCCUGUCAAACUCCGAAUGCCAUGGUAGCUAGCCCAAGGAGUGAGUCUACGGGGGACAAGCUUCGUAGGCGAGAGGGGAACAUCCCAGACUAUCGGCUAAGGUCCCGAAGCUACGCUAAGUGUUCCAACCUAAAGGAAGUACGUCUGCAAAGACAGCCAGGAUGUUGGCUCAGAAGCAGCCAUCAUCUAAGGAGUGCGUAACAGCUCGCUGGUCGAGCGGAUGUGCGCCGAAGAUGUAACGGGGCUAAGCGUAGCACCGAAGCCAUAGACUUACUUUAGCCAAGGCUAAAGUAAGUGGUAGGAGAGCGUUCUGUGAGGGGCGAAGGUUACAUGUGAAUGUAGCUGGACUUCACAGAAGUGAGAAUCCUGGCAUGAGUAACGAUAAGACAGGUGAGAAUCCUGUCCGCCGGAAGUCCAAGGGUUCCUGGGGAAGGUUCGUCCGCCCAGGGUAAGCCGGAGCCUAAGGUGAGGCCGAAAGGCGUAGCCGAUGGAGAAACAGGUUAAUAGUCCGUGCCACUGAUUAUGUCGAUUGACCUGAAGGGGAGACGCAGGAAGGUAGCUACGCGUGCUAGUGGAAUAGCACGUUCUUAGCAGCGAGGCCUGGGUGUAGGGAAAUCCGCACCCGAUGUAGGUUAGCGGCUAGGAGGAGUGUCCGUAAGGAUGCGAAGGUAGUGAUCCUACACUGCCGAGAAAAACCUCGUCAGGGAGACAUAGUUAGUGUCCGUACCCGAAACCGACACAGGUGGACUGGUAGACAAACUACCGAGGCGCGCGAGAGAACCCUCGCUAAGGAACUCGGCAAACUGACCCCGUAACCUCGGGAGAAGGGGUGCCUGCGAUAGGUGAAUCAAGGAAUUGAUGAGCCGAGGCAGGCCGCAGAGGAUAGGUCCUGGCGACUGUUUACCAAAAACACAGGUCUCUGCGAAGGCGGAAGCCGAAGUAUAGGGGCUGAGGCCUGGCCAGUGCUGGAAGGUUAAGGUGAGGGGUUAGCCCAGGAAUGGGCGAAGCUCCGAGCUGAAGCCCCAGUAAACGCCGGCCGUAACUAUAACGGUCCUAAGGUAGCGAAAUUCCUUGUCGGGUAAGUUCC